RNAcentral lists this ribosomal RNA (2782 nucleotides) under Bacillus cereus. RNAcentral describes it as "bacterial LSU rRNA". It matches the Rfam family "Bacterial large subunit ribosomal RNA". Lineage: Bacteria; Bacillati; Bacillota; Bacilli; Caryophanales; Bacillaceae. The record is from RNAcentral.
GGUUAAGUUAGAAAGGGCGCACGGUGGAUGCCUUGACACUAGGAGUCGAUGAAGGACGGGACUAACGCCGAUAUGCUUCGGGGAGCUGUAAGUAAGCUUUGAUCCGAAGAUUUCCGAAUGGGGAAACCCACCAUACGUAAUGGUAUGGUAUCCUUAUCUGAAUACAUAGGGUAAGGAAGACAGACCCAGGGAACUGAAACAUCUAAGUACCUGGAGGAAGAGAAAGCAAAUGCGAUUUCCUGAGUAGCGGCGAGCGAAACGGAACAUAGCCCAAACCAAGAGGCUUGCCUCUUGGGGUUGUAGGACAUUCUAUACGGAGUUACAAAGGAACGAGGUAGACGAAGCGACCUGGAAAGGUCCGUCGUAGAGGGUAACAACCCCGUAGUCGAAACUUCGUUCUCUCUUGAAUGUAUCCUGAGUACGGCGGAACACGUGAAAUUCCGUCGGAAUCUGGGAGGACCAUCUCCCAAGGCUAAAUACUCCCUAGUGAUCGAUAGUGAACCAGUACCGUGAGGGAAAGGUGAAAAGCACCCCGGAAGGGGAGUGAAAGAGAUCCUGAAACCGUGUGCCUACAAAUAGUCAGAGCCCGUUAACGGGUGAUGGCGUGCCUUUUGUAGAAUGAACCGGCGAGUUACGAUCCCGUGCGAGGUUAAGCUGAAGAGGCGGAGCCGCAGCGAAAGCGAGUCUGAAUAGGGCGUUUAGUACGUGGUCGUAGACCCGAAACCAGGUGAUCUACCCAUGUCCAGGGUGAAGUUCAGGUAACACUGAAUGGAGGCCCGAACCCACGCACGUUGAAAAGUGCGGGGAUGAGGUGUGGGUAGCGGAGAAAUUCCAAUCGAACCUGGAGAUAGCUGGUUCUCCCCGAAAUAGCUUUAGGGCUAGCCUUAAGUGUAAGAGUCUUGGAGGUAGAGCACUGAUUGGACUAGGGGUCCUCAUCGGAUUACCGAAUUCAGUCAAACUCCGAAUGCCAAUGACUUAUCCUUAGGAGUCAGACUGCGAGUGAUAAGAUCCGUAGUCAAAAGGGAAACAGCCCAGACCGCCAGCUAAGGUCCCAAAGUGUGUAUUAAGUGGAAAAGGAUGUGGAGUUGCUUAGACAACUAGGAUGUUGGCUUAGAAGCAGCCACCAUUUAAAGAGUGCGUAAUAGCUCACUAGUCGAGUGACUCUGCGCCGAAAAUGUACCGGGGCUAAAUACACCACCGAAGCUGCGGAUUGAUACCAAUGGUAUCAGUGGUAGGGGAGCGUUCUAAGGACAGUGAAGUCAGACCGUAAGGACUGGUGGAGUGCUUAGAAGUGAGAAUGCCGGUAUGAGUAGCGAAAGACGGGUGAGAAUCCCGUCCACCGAAUGCCUAAGGUUUCCUGAGGAAGGCUCGUCCGCUCAGGGUUAGUCAGGACCUAAGCCGAGGCCGACAGGCGUAGGCGAUGGACAACAGGUUGAUAUUCCUGUACCACCUCUUUAUCGUUUGAGCAAUGGAGGGACGCAGAAGGAUAGAAGAAGCGUGCGAUUGGUUGUGCACGUCCAAGCAGUUAGGCUGAUAAGUAGGCAAAUCCGCUUAUCGUAAAGGCUGAGCUGUGAUGGGGAAGCUCCUUAUGGAGCGAAGUCUUUGAUUCCCCGCUGCCAAGAAAAGCUUCUAGCGAGAUAAAAGGUGCCUGUACCGCAAACCGACACAGGUAGGCGAGGAGAGAAUCCUAAGGUGUGCGAGAGAACUCUGGUUAAGGAACUCGGCAAAAUGACCCCGUAACUUCGGGAGAAGGGGUGCUUUCUUAACGGAAAGCCGCAGUGAAUAGGCCCAAGCGACUGUUUAGCAAAAACACAGCUCUCUGCGAAGCCGUAAGGCGAAGUAUAGGGGGUGACACCUGCCCGGUGCUGGAAGGUUAAGGAGAGGGGUUAGCGUAAGCGAAGCUCUGAACUGAAGCCCCAGUAAACGGCGGCCGUAACUAUAACGGUCCUAAGGUAGCGAAAUUCCUUGUCGGGUAAGUUCCGACCCGCACGAAAGGUGUAACGAUUUGGGCACUGUCUCAACCAGAGACUCGGUGAAAUUAUAGUACCUGUGAAGAUGCAGGUUACCCGCGACAGGACGGAAAGACCCCGUGGAGCUUUACUGUAGCCUGAUAUUGAAUUUUGGUACAGUUUGUACAGGAUAGGCGGGAGCCAUUGAAACCGGAGCGCUAGCUUCGGUGGAGGCGCUGGUGGGAUACCGCCCUGACUGUAUUGAAAUUCUAACCUACGGGUCUUAUCGACCCGGGAGACAGUGUCAGGUGGGCAGUUUGACUGGGGCGGUCGCCUCCUAAAGUGUAACGGAGGCGCCCAAAGGUUCCCUCAGAAUGGUUGGAAAUCAUUCGUAGAGUGCAAAGGCAUAAGGGAGCUUGACUGCGAGACCUACAAGUCGAGCAGGGACGAAAGUCGGGCUUAGUGAUCCGGUGGUUCCGCAUGGAAGGGCCAUCGCUCAACGGAUAAAAGCUACCCCGGGGAUAACAGGCUUAUCUCCCCCAAGAGUCCACAUCGACGGGGAGGUUUGGCACCUCGAUGUCGGCUCAUCGCAUCCUGGGGCUGUAGUCGGUCCCAAGGGUUGGGCUGUUCGCCCAUUAAAGCGGUACGCGAGCUGGGUUCAGAACGUCGUGAGACAGUUCGGUCCCUAUCCGUCGUGGGCGUAGGAAAUUUGAGAGGAGCUGUCCUUAGUACGAGAGGACCGGGAUGGACGCACCGCUGGUGUACCAGUUGUUCUGCCAAGGGCAUAGCUGGGUAGCUAUGUGCGGAAGGGAUAAGUGCUGAAAGCAUCUAAG